ACAAAAGGGCAUUCAAUUUUUUGCCAAUUGUCUAAACCCGCUUCAACAUCCGUUCAACCUGAAGUGCCAAGUAUUAAACAAUCGUAUGCACCAUUGCGUCACAUGACGCACUCUGCGCGCGCCACUCCACUAUCACUGCGUAUGCGCCACUGACAAGCGGGAGGAGAAAACAGAAAAUCCCAGAGAUAUCUGAGAUGCGAGCUGUCAUAGCGACUGGACUCUCUGCCCUUGUACUGCUCAGCAAAAUGCAGUUUGACUCAGUCAAAACACAUAGCAGUGUGAAGAAACCAAAGAUUGACCAUAACACCCAAGGGAUGGGCUGAACCUUCAAAGAUGGACUGCUUUCGCAGAACCAAAGAGGACAAAUAAUAACACACAAUCACCAUCAACAAUAACAAUACUCGAAAAGGGCUCCAAAACAACAACUCCUUCAGAUUCAUUACCACUUCCGUCUUCUGCAGAUGACGUCACUUCCAGUCCCGUGAGGAUGAUGUGACUUCCGGUCAACACUGAUGAUGUCACUUCUGGCCAAUCCCAAUGACAACACGUCCGGUCCCGCUAUAACAGGGGUGGGCAAAGUCAUUCCUGGAGGGCCGCAGUGGCUGCAGGU
Long non-coding RNA from Polypterus senegalus (gray bichir), 610 nucleotides. RefSeq lists it as uncharacterized. The record is from RefSeq and is a predicted model, not a curated record. The transcript is spliced from 3 exons. NCBI's taxonomy places the organism in Eukaryota, Metazoa, Chordata, Cladistia, Polypteriformes, Polypteridae.